UUUAACUGAAGAGUUUGAUCAUGGCUCAGAUUGAACGCUGGCGGCAGGCUUAACACAUGCAAGUCGAGCGGGGGAAGGUAGCUUGCUACCGGACCUAGCGGCGGACGGGUGAGUAAUGCUUAGGAAUCUGCCUAUUAGUGGGGGACAACAUCUCGAAAGGGAUGCUAAUACCGCAUACGUCCUACGGGAGAAAGCAGGGGAUCUUCGGACCUUGCGCUAAUAGAUGAGCCUAAGUCGGAUUAGCUAGUUGGUGGGGUAAAGGCCUACCAAGGCGACGAUCUGUAGCGGGUCUGAGAGGAUGAUCCGCCACACUGGGACUGAGACACGGCCCAGACUCCUACGGGAGGCAGCAGUGGGGAAUAUUGGACAAUGGGGGGAACCCUGAUCCAGCCAUGCCGCGUGUGUGAAGAAGGCCUUAUGGUUGUAAAGCACUUUAAGCGAGGAGGAGGCUACUCUAGUUAAUACCUAGGGAUAGUGGACGUUACUCGCAGAAUAAGCACCGGCUAACUCUGUGCCAGCAGCCGCGGUAAUACAGAGGGUGCGAGCGUUAAUCGGAUUUACUGGGCGUAAAGCGUGCGUAGGCGGCUUAUUAAGUCGGAUGUGAAAUCCCCGAGCUUAACUUGGGAAUUGCAUUCGAUACUGGUGAGCUAGAGUAUGGGAGAGGAUGGUAGAAUUCCAGGUGUAGCGGUGAAAUGCGUAGAGAUCUGGAGGAAUACCGAUGGCGAAGGCAGCCAUCUGGCCUAAUACUGACGCUGAGGUACGAAAGCAUGGGGAGCAAACAGGAUUAGAUACCCUGGUAGUCCAUGCCGUAAACGAUGUCUACUAGCCGUUGGGGCCUUUGAGGCUUUAGUGGCGCAGCUAACGCGAUAAGUAGACCGCCUGGGGAGUACGGUCGCAAGACUAAAACUCAAAUGAAUUGACGGGGGCCCGCACAAGCGGUGGAGCAUGUGGUUUAAUUCGAUGCAACGCGAAGAACCUUACCUGGCCUUGACAUACUAGAAACUUUCCAGAGAUGGAUUGGUGCCUUCGGGAAUCUAGAUACAGGUGCUGCAUGGCUGUCGUCAGCUCGUGUCGUGAGAUGUUGGGUUAAGUCCCGCAACGAGCGCAACCCUUUUCCUUACUUGCCAGCAUUUCGGAUGGGAACUUUAAGGAUACUGCCAGUGACAAACUGGAGGAAGGCGGGGACGACGUCAAGUCAUCAUGGCCCUUACGGCCAGGGCUACACACGUGCUACAAUGGUCGGUACAAAGGGUUGCUACACAGCGAUGUGAUGCUAAUCUCAAAAAGCCGAUCGUAGUCCGGAUUGGAGUCUGCAACUCGACUCCAAUGAAGUCGGAAUCGCUAGUAAUCGCGGAUCAGAAUGCCGCGGUGAAUACGUUCCCGGCCUUGUACACACCGCCCGUCACACCAUGGGAGUUUGUUGCACCAGAAGUAGCUAGCCUAACUGCAAAGAGGGCGGUUACCACGGUGUGGCCGAUGACUGGGGUGAAGUCGUAACAAGGUAGCCGUAGGGGAACCUGCGGCUGGAUCACCUCCUUAA
RNAcentral lists this ribosomal RNA (1540 nucleotides) under Acinetobacter baumannii. Its description in RNAcentral is "bacterial SSU rRNA". It matches the Rfam family "Bacterial small subunit ribosomal RNA". The record is from RNAcentral. Lineage: Bacteria; Pseudomonadati; Pseudomonadota; Gammaproteobacteria; Moraxellales; Moraxellaceae.